UUAAGUUCAGCGGGUAUCCCUACCUGAUCCGAGGUCAAUCAUUAGAAGUGAUGGUUCUGGCGGAGGCACGCCGAGCGCCUGUAACGAGAGAUAUUACUACGUUCAGGGCCCAGCGGCACCGCCACUAAUUUUAGAGCCUGCCAUCGCUGACAUGGGCUCAACACCAAGCAGAGCUUGAAGGGUUUUAAUGACGCUCGGAC
RNAcentral lists this unclassified non-coding RNA (200 nucleotides) under Monilinia sp. RNAcentral's name for it is "partial internal transcribed spacer 2". Lineage: Eukaryota; Fungi; Ascomycota; Leotiomycetes; Helotiales; Sclerotiniaceae. The record is from RNAcentral.